AUUUUUUGUAUGUUUUUCACUUUUACUUUUUGUUUU
This 36-nucleotide small RNA is filed under the name Arabidopsis thaliana (thale cress). RNAcentral describes it as "ATSL222900". The record is from RNAcentral. Lineage: Eukaryota; Viridiplantae; Streptophyta; Magnoliopsida; Brassicales; Brassicaceae.